Molecule: long non-coding RNA, 1306 nt
Filed under: Nicotiana tabacum (common tobacco)
Lineage: Eukaryota; Viridiplantae; Streptophyta; Magnoliopsida; Solanales; Solanaceae
Description: long non-coding RNA (NTAB_LNC018811)
Source: RNAcentral
UUGUAGAGCUCUAAAUGCUGCAUUCCUUCUCAAGGAAUUUCCACUCUCUACCAUUUUGAUCAAAGAGGGAGAAGCUUUCUCAGCAACGUAGGUUAUGCUGUCAAGUCCAAGCACUAUUUCCCCGAGGUAUCGUGCCAUCUCCAUUUUCAUCUCUUCACUGCCUAUAUCAAGUUUUUGGUAGUAGAAGUAACAGUCAGUUCCUUGAAUUCAGAAUUGACACCAAAAAACUCAAUUUGGUCUCUACUUUUUGAUACCUGUCUUUAGUUCAUGUCGUCUCUAUUCUAGUAUACUUAGUGAUUGACCCUUAAAAGAAAAGAAUAUGUGGUUACCUUCAAGAAGAUGAUUUAAAAGUGGCUCUAGAUAUCCAUUUUCAGCCAUGUGUUUGAUGUUGCACGGAUAUUUCUCCAAGCUUUUCAAGACUUCGUCAGCUUUAUCUGCGACAAAUGCAUCACCGGAAUGCCUAUAUUUGGCUGUUAUCAGCAUGAGGAUGGCUCCAGGAACUUUCCCAAUAUUAUCACACAGAAACUGGGAUUUCGAAACCUCAAGCAAAAGGCGUAGUGAUGCAUGCCUAAUAGGUCUGUGAUUACUCGUCAGCAUCCUUGUGACUGUAGAAAUAUCGAUAAUUUGGGCAAUUAAUUCCUGCAUUUGUGAAGUAUCUCAACUCAGUACAUGUCUACAGGAUACUCUAAUUCUGUAAUUCUUGUUGUAUAUAUACAUGAAAAGUAGUGUUAAAAGCAAAUGUUGAGUAAACAAAUAAAAUGUGAAAUGUUAGUAGUAGUUGUGUGCCUACUAAAACUUAAAACUUUUCAAGGAUAGAAAAAAAAGGCCUAUACCUCAUCAUCAUCUUCAGCCAAAUGUCGCAACAAUUCCAGUGUUGCACAUCUUAUGCUUCUGCUUCUGUUGUCCAGUAAAUUUCCAAGCAGUGGUAUUAUACCAAUGCUACGAACUUGUACCUUAUUGUAUGGCUUUCUGAGGCAGAUGAUUUGCAAAUUUUCGAUUGCUUUGAGUAUUAUAUCCUGUGUGCUACUGGCUGAAGACAAAGCUGCUCUUGCAGCCUUGAUUCUUGCUGCUUCAUUUCUUUCUUUCCAUUCGUCUAUCGUUGCUUUCAACGCCACAUUAGUGCUCAGAUUUGUACUCUUUAGCUUCUGGCCUGACUUUGGACAGGAUAUUUCUUCGCGGUUAUCAAACUUGUUGAUCCAUUCUGAAAUGGCUUCCCUCUCAUAUGUUACUCCACUUUCUAUUGUGACAGGAUCCUCCAUAAUCUUCUUUGUCAACGGACAAAAGAAUGUUUCAUAUAGAGGUUCCA